RNAcentral lists this long non-coding RNA (1112 nucleotides) under Androctonus crassicauda. The record is from RNAcentral. Lineage: Eukaryota; Metazoa; Arthropoda; Arachnida; Scorpiones; Buthidae.
GUUACUCCUUAUGAAAUACUUUAAUCAAAUAAUAUUUUUUGUAACAAAUUUAUAAUGCAAAAAUCUGACAUCAUAUAUAUUUUUGCCUCAUUAACAAUUAUAUUGACGUCUUAUAAAAUAAAAAUAAGAAAAAAAAUAUUGACUGGUGAUUAUUAGUACAAGGUGAAAGAAUGUCGAAGAUAGUAAAGAUUAUGUCGAUGCUAAAAAGUAUCGUUAGUUAUAUACAGUAUAUAUAUAUAUAUAUCUCCCAAUUUUUAGGGCUCUUCAUCUCACCUCUUACAUUAUUCCCGGGCACAAUGCCAAAAUUACCUUAUAGGCACUUCAGAAACUUAUAUUCGUUUUUAAAUUGUGUACUUGCAUCUAUCAAAUGUGUGUGUGUAUCAGACGAAAGUAAUAUUAGCUAGCGUGAUCAAUAACAUAUUUGCAUAUAUUUUCGUAGUCGUCAAUGGAAAGAGUUCGACUAUUAUCUUCAUCGUUCCAGAUGUUUCUAUGUCACUAUGCAAAAGUGGUCACGUACUGAAAGUUGAUAGGAUAGUUUUUGGAAGCCGAUAAGCUUUUGGAAUGACGGUAACAUACGGUCAAGCAAUGUUACAGUACAUUUACUCGUACGUUAUUAGUGAGUUUCAGGAAAGGAUGUCACGAAUUCGAGAUAAGAGAGAGAGAGAAUUCUAUUUACUGUUCGUUGGACACGUGAUCUAAUUAUCGUAAUGUAACACCAUUAGAGGAAAAGUUUGAGUAUAAAUAUCUUCCUUGCACCAUAACAUGGUAAUUGUAUUUCCUGUGAGAACAUUAACAUGCUCCUGUUAAUUAUUGUUGUCUAAUCUUUGUCUGCAGCAUAUCAUGUAUACUUUCAUCGACACAAUCGUUUCUGAACUGGUAAAAAUGUUGGACUGAUCCGACAUCUACGAUCGGAUUUUAUAAACAAUAAAUAAAUAAUGCAUAUUUAAAAAAUUCUAAAAAAUGAAUAUUGAUAGAUAUGAUUAUCAUAUGUGCACAUUAUUAACAAUUAUCAUCUUAAAUUUGAAGGUUAAUUAUAGUUUAAAAGGUUUCGGGCAGUUCAUUUAAUACAAAUCGCUUAUGUGUUUAAUUUUCUUCUUUUUACUAUCUUUGGC